AUGGCGAUGCUCCUCCUCGCCCUUGGCCAAGAACGGCAAUGGCAGCUCCUCCUGGCCCUCCUCACCGUGGUUUUCCUUGUUGUGAUUGCGAGGAACUCGUCCUCGUCCAAGGCCAAGCAAGGGCUCAAGCACAAACUCCCACCGGGCCCGGCGAUGUCGCCAGUCCUGGGCAACCUGCACCAGGUGGGCGGGCUUCCGCACCGGAGCCUGCGGGAGCUAGCUCGGCGGCACGGGCCAGUGAUGCUGCUGUGGCUGGGCACGGUGAGGACGGUGGUGGUGUCUUCGGCGGAGGCUGCGAAGGCGGUGCUGAAGACGCACGACGUAGAUUGCUGCAGCCGGCCGGCGUCCCGAGGACCCAAACGGCUGAGUUACGACCUCAAGAACCUGUUGUUCGCGCCUCAUGGCGUGUACUGGCGCGAGAUGCGGAAGCUCUUCAUGGUGGAGCUCCUCAGCAUGCGCCGCGUCAGGGCUGCCGCGUAUGCACGGGAGCAGCAGGUUGCCAAACUUGUGAGCAACCUGAGCCGCCUGGGCGGCAAACCGGUGGCCUUGAACGAGCACAUCUUUGGCCUCACAGACGGCAUCAUUGGCACGGUAGCGUUCGGCAGCGUAUACGGGGCUGACCAGUUCCCGCACAAGGGGCGCUUCCAGGAGGUGCUGGACGAGGCCAUGGACAUGAUGGCCAGCUUCUCUGCCGAGGACUUCUUCCCCGGCACCGGCGGCCGUCUCGUGGACCGCCUAACAGGCCUCUUGGGCCGCCGCGAGAGGGUCUUCAAGGAGCUGGACGCCUUCUUCGAGCUUAUCAUCGAGCAGCACCUGGACCCGGCACGCCCCAAGCCGGACAACGGCGGGGACCUCGUCGAUGUCCUCAUCGGCCUGUGGAAGGAGCAGCAUAGCACAGUGCGCUUCACCAAGGAUCACGUCAAGGCCAUCAUCCUGGACACGUUUAUUGGCGCCAUAGACACGAGCUCCGUGACGAUGCUGUGGGCAAUGUCCGAGUUGAUACGGAAGCCGCGCGUACUCAGCAAGGUGCAAGACGAGAUCAGGGCAAUGGUGGGCGGCAACCAUUUUUGGAGGGUGGAAGAAGACCACGUCCCCAAUCUCACCUACCUCAAGAUGGUGGUCAAGGAGACUCUGCGGCUGCACCCACCGGCCACCCUGCUUGUGCCGAGGGAGACCAUGAAGCCCCUCGAGAUCGGAGGCUACGACGUGCCUGCCAAGACGCGGAUCCUUGUCAAUGCACGGGCCAUCGGCAGGGACCCCCUGAGCUGGGGCUCCGACUCAGAGGAGUUAAACCCGGACAGGUUCCAUGGCAGUGACAUCGACUUCAACGGCGCCCACUUCCAGCUCCUGCCUUUUGGCGCCGGCCGGAGGAUAUGUCCUGGCCUAGCCAUGGGGGUCAUGAACGUGGAGUUCACGCUUGCCAACCUGCUAUACUGCUUCGAUUGGGCGCUCCCAGAAGGGAUGCCGCCCGAGAAUGUGAGCAUGGAAGAGGCCGGCGCCCUCACUUUCCAUCGGAAGGCGCCGCUGAUUCUCGUGCCCACGCCGCAGGGUGGCUCUUCCGCAAAUAUGCAUAUCACCUCUCUAGCUUCCAAUCAUGUGUUGAAUUAA
This 1608-nucleotide ribosomal RNA is filed under the name Triticum aestivum (bread wheat). RNAcentral describes it as "partial small subunit ribosomal RNA". Lineage: Eukaryota; Viridiplantae; Streptophyta; Magnoliopsida; Poales; Poaceae. The record is from RNAcentral.